AAGUCGAGCGAUGAGGCUCCCUUCGGGGAGUACAUCAGCGGCAGACGGGUGAGUAACACGUAGGUAACCUGCCCUCAAGACGGGGAUAACGCCUGGAAACGGGCGCUAAUACCGGAUGACCUUAGUUGGGGAAGAUCCGAUUAAGGAAAGGCUAUGGCGCUUGAGGAGGGGCCUGCGGCCCAUCAGUUAGUUGGUAGGGUAACGGCCUACCAAGGCGAAGACGGGUAGGGGGUGUGAGAGCACGGCCCCCCACACUGGGACUGAGACACGGCCCAGACUCCUACGGGAGGCAGCAGCGGGGAAUAUUGCGCAAUGGACGGAAGUCAGACGCAGCGACGCCGCGUGGGUGAAGAAGGCCUUCGGGUGGUACAGCCCUUGGGUGAAGGAAGAGAAAGGACGGUACCUUAGGAAUAAGCGUCGGCUAACUACGUGCCAGCAGACGCGGUAAGACGUAGGACGCGAGCGUUAUCCGGAUUUACUGGGCGUAAAAGCGUGUGUAGGCGGCGUGACAAGUUGGGCAUGAAAGCCCCGUUGCUCAACGCGGGGAGGCCGCACAAUACGGUCAGGCUAGAGAGCACCGGAGGGGGUGUGGAAUUCCCGGAGUAGCGGUAGAAUGCGCAGAUAUCGGGAGGAACACCGGGUGACGAAACAGCCACCCUGGGGUGCGCCUGACGCUGAGAGACGACAGCAAGGGGAGCGAACAGGAUUAGAGACCCUGGGUAGUCCUAGCCGUAAACGAUGGAUGCUAGGUGUAGG
RNAcentral lists this ribosomal RNA (756 nucleotides) under uncultured organism. RNAcentral describes it as "bacterial SSU rRNA". It matches the Rfam family "Bacterial small subunit ribosomal RNA", at positions 59 to 826 of the family's 1533-position model. The record is from RNAcentral.